RNAcentral lists this ribosomal RNA (429 nucleotides) under uncultured bacterium. RNAcentral describes it as "bacterial SSU rRNA". It matches the Rfam family "Bacterial small subunit ribosomal RNA", at positions 355 to 776 of the family's 1533-position model. The record is from RNAcentral.
UGGGGAAUAUUGGACAAUGGGCGCAAGCCUGAUCCAGCAAUGCCGCGUGUGUGAAGAAGGCCUGCGGGUUGUAAAGCACUUUCAGUUGGGAGGAAGGACUUGUGUUUAAUAAACAUGAGUAUUGACGUUACCGACAGAAGAAGCACCGGCUAACUCUGUGCCAGCAGCCGCGGUAAUACAGAGGGUGCGAGCGUUAAUCGGAAUUACUGGGCGUAAAGGGUGCGUAGGUGGUCUUUUAAGUCAGAUGUGAAAACCCUGGGCUCAACCUAGGAAUGGCAUUUGAUACUGGAAGACUAGAGUUCGGAAGAGGAAAGUGGAAUUUCAGGUGUAGCGGUGAAAUGCGUAGAUAUCUGAAGGAACAUCAGUGGCGAAGGCGACUUUCUGGUCCGAUACUGACACUGAGGCACGAAAGCGUGGGGAGCAAACAGG